Long non-coding RNA from Prosopis cineraria, 791 nucleotides. RefSeq lists it as uncharacterized. The record is from RefSeq and is a predicted model, not a curated record. Lineage: Eukaryota; Viridiplantae; Streptophyta; Magnoliopsida; Fabales; Fabaceae. The transcript is spliced from 2 exons.
AACAUAAAAUCAUGCGACCACGAUGAGGCAUAGAACUUGUCUGAUACGUGUCGACCCACAAAUAAUUUGGAUCUGCACGUGAUGGUCAUGUGAGCAAUGCUUUCUAAAUUACAUCGACUCGUGAAAACACUUGGUUAAGACCUUGCGGCUUGCUGGUUAGUGGGCUAUGCUCCUACGCGUCCGCAAACAUCGACUGCUUAUCAGAUCAAGGAACAAUUUCAGCCCUUCAUUUCAAUUUAAAAUGAUCUUUACUGUUCUUUUAAAUUAAUUUUUAAACAUUUUUAAUAUUAUAUUUAUUAAAAUAAAAAAUAUAAAAAUUUUAAUAUUAAAUCUGGACUAUUUAAAUGAUUAAUCUGUAAAAUUUAUAAAUUUUUAAAUAUCAAAUUAGAUUACAUAGAUUAUAUAUGAACUGUCUAGAGUCUAUAUGAAUAAUUAAAUUAUAAAAUUAUAAAUUUUUUUAAUGUUAAAUUGAAUUGUUAGAUUAAAUAUGUAUUUUCCAGAUUGGCAAUAAAUAAAUUUAUUAAAUUUUUUAUUUUUUAUAUAAAUAUAUAUAAUAUUAAAAUAUUUAAAAAUUAAUUUAAAUAAAUGGCAGAGAUUAAUUUAGACUGAAAUGGAGGGUCAAGAGAUGAGUAUGCAGUAAUGAGCACCAAAUGCAAAUCCAUUCUUUUACCUACAAGGUCGUGAGUUCGAAUAGGAAUGGGACAAAACCUAUGAAAACCUCAUAUGUAAAUAUUAAAAUUGUGUAGCCAUUAUUAUAAUUUAGUUUAAAUAAAGUGAUUUGUUUGAAAAAA